UCAAAUUCAAAAUAUACCAAUUACAAAGAAUAUUAAUACCAUACAAUACGUUUACAUCCCAAUAAUACCAAACUAUCCAUACAUCUCAAAUUAACUUUUCAAUAUAAUUACUACUAUAUUGAAUUGUGAAUUUGACUACAUCCACAAAAUAUACCAAACUAUCCAUAAAAUUAAACUACUACCUAAUUAAACUAUCCAUAAAAUAUAAUACUUCUAAUGUACAAAAAACCCCAACCAAAUUGCAAGGCAAAAGCUAAACAAGCCUUCUUGCUCUCAGCCAGAAGUUUUUCUGCAGCAAGGAAGCAACAUGCAAAAGUAAUGUGGCAGGAUGGUUCAUUACCCUUAUCGAGGAUCAGGCCGUUAUAGUAGUAAACUGCAGCCUGAAAAUGGUACAUAAAUAUUAGUAUCAUUUGAACAAAAUAAUUGAAGAAGUUUUAGAGCUAGUACGAGUUAAAAAUCAACGUCCGAUAACCUUUAUAGAGCAUAUAGUUAAAAACAAAUAUAUACCCAAAGACAAUUUACAACAUAAGCAGUUCAUCACACUAAUUAGUAAAUGUACUGACAAUCAUAUGUACCGACAAUCAUAAGCAGUGGCAUUACCUGAUUGAAUGACUUGAAUCACUCCAAAAAAAAUGAAGGGUCGUCAUAUAGGCCCGGAGUGUGUGUGGCUAGAAUAGAAUACUAAACUUUUCUUCGAGCACGAUACCUAAAGAAAUAAAAGUACUCAACUUGUCUUCUAGCAUAUAGCAGUUUAAACACUGAUUCAAGAACACAAUUCUACCAUUUAUGAAGAUACAAUAUGUAGGGUUUCAACACAUAAAACGCAGCGGAAAUAGAACAAUUUAAAGCAAUUUCAAAACCCUAAACAGGAUCCAUGCGAAAACCAUAUUAAUUCAGUGGUUAGAAAUUUAUACCGAUUAUUGAAGCUGGAAUUGAUACAAUCGAAUCUCUAACGCAAUCCCAAUGAACUGCGCCUCUACAGUAUCCACACGAACGCCCCGUGAAUCGUCGUACGAUCUGCAGUAAAAGGAACUGCGGUACUAGCCACCAAAGAUGAGGAUUUUCAGAACUGUCUCUCUAGCCUCUCUUAGAGGCUAGGGUUUUGGUUAAUGAAUCAUUCCUAAAAUGGUUGCUACAUAUCAUAUAUAUAUAGUAAUUAAAAAACUUAAUCAAAACCUAAUUUAAUAAAAUCCGAAUUUAUAUAUAUAUAUAUAUAUAUAUAUAUAUAUCUUAAUUAAGUCUUAAUUAAUAUACCUAUAUAUAAAUUAUCCUAUUAAUUUAAAUUCGUAAUUUAAAUACUAUCAAUCAUAUUGACAUAUUUAAUUCUUUACAAUUUAAAUUAAUUUCCUUUUAAUUACGUUCUAUGUGUGUGACCCUAUAGGUUAUUAUUACGUUGGCAAUAAUUUUAAAAUCAUAUUAUGAAAUUAUAAACAGUGAGCGGCAUCUAGUAAUGCAUCACUGCUAUCCAAGUAAUAAUAAGAUCGAUGAUUCGAUGCAACCUUUUCGUGACCAAUGUUUCAAUGUAAUUUAAUCCUUUUAACCUUGACAUCCUAGAUUAAACUCGAGAUAUGGAAUGUUUCAUACUCUUCAUAAUUUAAUCUGUAUUUUCUUGAUCAAUGAGUAGACUAUAUGAAACAAAUCACUAUUUGAGCAUGGCCAUGCAUUUCAUAGUCCUACUUAAUCAAGAGACCUAUGAAUAUCACCCCUAAUAUAUAGAAGGGUUAAAUUCCAUCUAGAUCACUCAUAUUCCUCACACGAUUCAUAAUGUACCCAAUAAUCAUCUUUAUAGUCCACCCUAUUAAAGGUGAUUUGAUGAUAUCAAAGUACAUAAAUUCCCGUGUAGUAAUAUAGUGAUUUCAGGUCUAAAGACCAUUACAUCAUUGUCACUAUGAGAAUUGCUAAUGACACUUUGCUUACUGUUCCACGUAGAAUUCUCAUGGUGGACCUGUCCAGUACAUCGUUCUCUAACAUGUACCUAUGCAUUGACUUAAUAUCUCAUAUAUUUAUGACCAAUGAAAUUUGAUCAUCAGUCAAUCCACAUACUAGUCUCAAUGCAUAUCAUUGUUACUUGACUAGGAACAUUUAAGAACAAUGAUACUAAUUAUAAUUAUAUAAUCUCAUGUUCAAGUCACAUACUUGAAACUAUAUAAUUUGUAUCACUAUUCUAAAGAAUUUUAUUAUGUUAACAUUUAUAUAACGCAAUAAAUAAAACCAUAAUAAAAUCAUUCAUUUAUUCAAUCAAAUAUAAUAUCAAAAUGUUAAGCAAUUAUAUCAAAUAAUUGGCCUCUAGGGUAUAAACUAACACAAUAUGAGAAUAAUUUUUCUAGCAUGAACAAGUUAGGAAGAAACAACCAAACCAAGCAAAAGGCCAUAUUAUUAGUUAGUGCGAGUCUCACUAAUUUGCAUGCACAUCACAUAUACGUUCAGAACGAAGCUUGUGAAAGGCUUGUGCACCUAAAGGCCAUAUUAUUAGUGUUACACCUAUCAUUUCUGUCGAGGACUAAAAAUCAAUCUAAGGUUCUAUAGACCACAACGGAGAACUUCAAAAACCUCAACAACCACCCUAAGUAUACUUGAGAGAGGUUUGUGUGGACUGUGGCUGUGGCAGUCAAAGAAAUCCUAGCUGCUUGAUUAUCUUGUAUAGUCCUAAAAUCUGCUACACUAGCAAAAAAUUGGUUAGCAUGGAAUACAGUUUAUAGAAACAUAUUAAGGUAUAGCAUAGAAAUAGUGUCAACGCUGCGAAUUUGAGAAAAUAUUCCUUCUAUAAUUUUAAUUAUUAAAAAAAUACUUAUUCCAAAAUUACCAAAAACCACGAAUUGGGUGAGGGCAGAGGGGAGGAGAUAGGGAGAGCCUAGUCGGCAGUCGCUUUAAUAAAAUAAUGAAUGAAAUCAAAAACCUUGUAUUUGGCAGCUUUUUCACUCUUCACAAUAACAAAGUUAACAUCCAAUGAUGCUUUAGUAUGCAGCACACCUCCCAUAGAUGUCACCAACUUUCCAAUCUCAUCCUAUAAGACAAAAUUAGACCACAAUAAAUCAGGAGGCAUAAUCUGCGAUUUUAAGGAGGAACUGAGUAAAUCAUACAUUGCAGAAAUAAUGACAACUUAUACAACAUCUCCUCAAC
Molecule: long non-coding RNA, 3120 nt
Filed under: Panax ginseng (ginseng)
Lineage: Eukaryota; Viridiplantae; Streptophyta; Magnoliopsida; Apiales; Araliaceae
Description: long non-coding RNA (PGIN_LNC011962)
Source: RNAcentral